GACGAACGCUGGCGGCGUGCUUAACACAUGCAAGUCGAACGGAAAGGCCCUGCUUUUGUGGGGUGCUCGAGUGGCGAACGGGUGAGUAACACGUGAGUAACCUGCCCUUGACUUUGUGAUAACUUCAGGAAACUGGGGCUAAUACCGGAUAGGAGCUCCUGCUGCAUGUUGGGGGUUGGAAAGUUUCGGCGGUUGGGGAUGGACUCGCGGCUUAUCAGCUUGUUUGUGGGGUAGUGGUUUUCCAAGCCUUUGACGGGUAGGCUGCCUUGGAGGGUGACCGGCCACCAUGGGACUGCGAUACGGCCCAGAAUCCUACGGGCGGCAGCAGUGGGGAAUUUUGCAGAAUGGGCCGAAGCCUGAUGCGGCAACGCCGCGUGCGGGAUGCCGGCCUUCUGGUUGUAAACCGCUUUCGACUGUGACGAAGCGUGAGUGACGGUAAUGGGUAAAGAAGCACCGGCUAACUACGUG
RNAcentral lists this ribosomal RNA (468 nucleotides) under uncultured bacterium. Its description in RNAcentral is "partial 16S ribosomal RNA". It matches the Rfam family "Bacterial small subunit ribosomal RNA", at positions 28 to 507 of the family's 1533-position model. The record is from RNAcentral.